This 1183-nucleotide long non-coding RNA is filed under the name Sus scrofa (pig). RNAcentral describes it as "lncRNA (ENSSSCG00060002875.1)". Lineage: Eukaryota; Metazoa; Chordata; Mammalia; Artiodactyla; Suidae. The record is from RNAcentral.
AGCUUUCAGUUGCCACUUCAGAGGGGCAAAGUCCGAAUACUUCUUAGGAAUUAUAACCCUGAUUGUUCCAGGCUGUUUCUCGGACAUUCACGUGUUUCCCUUAACUGGAGAAGACACCGCGGUGCAGUCGCCUCCCUUCUGGGACUGGAAGAUGAGAUAUUUUAGCGAUAAAGAAUGGCAAUCCAGCCUGAGAUGAGUUUCCCCGCUGUGGUGCAUCUCUUGAAUUUUAAACACAAGCUGUGUUUCUUCAAUCCUCAAGUUUAGUAGAAGUGACUGGCCCCUGAUUCCGAAUGCAUAUGUAUCCAAAGGCAGUAGAAAUGUGUGUGUGACCAAGAGUCAAGUUCUGAGCUUCUAUAAGAGGGAUGAGUGACUAGAAGUGACAAUGAACUCUUCUUCACCAAGGUGCUUCACGGGGCUGCCUUCUGGGAACCUUCAGUUGUGCAUUAGGCAAACAUUACAAAAGCACUGAUAAAAUUCUAAGUAAAAGGCAAGGAAAACCAUUCAUGAUUCCAUCGCCCCAAGAACAGUCAAGCUGUUUGCAGAUUUUCCUCACUCUCUUUUGCUCAGAGCCACGUGAAUAUACAACGUCACUGGCAUAAUUACAGCAGAGAGACAUUUUGCAUCCAUUUAUUCCCCUUGCACAUCAUAUGAGCCCUGAGCCAACUUCUAAGAAGUUUUCUGCCCUAAAGCCACAGUGCUGGAGAGAGAGAGAGAGGAUGUGCCAAGAAUACACAGCCAUAGAGGUGCCCUGGGACGCCACGAGUCCUCCCAGCAUGUACCAUGGACACGAGAGGGAGCUUUCAGAUGAUUCCAUGUUCCAGCCUUGAAGAUGCUCCAGCCAAUACCCAGUGGAACAGGGAUAAGUUGAUCCCACCAAGCUUUACCUCAAAUGCAGAUUCAGGAGCAAAAUAAAUGUUGUUGGUUUAAAUCACUAAGCUCAGGCUGCUUAGUCACACAGUCACCCAGUAAUGAGUGGAACACAUUUAACUUGCAGGUGGGGACUUCUUCAACCCCAUCCAUUUGCAUAUAUUGCAAACAUUUCCCAAAAUGCCUGGGCUUUCAAGUUACCCUUCCCUGGUUCAUAUGAUAUUUUCUUUAAUAUAUUUUUUAUUUCUUAUUCAUAUAAAAAUAUUUUUUUUAUUCUCAUUGCUCAUUUUAUUAAAAUUGUAGGUAAAGAGGAAAA